UACAGAGGUCUCAAGCGUUGUUCGGAUUCAUUGGGCGUAAAGGGUGUGUAGGUGGCGCCGUAAGUCGGGUGUGAAAUUUCGGAGCUUAACUCCGAAACUGCAUUCGAUACUGCGGUGCUUGAGGACUGGAGAGGAGACUGGAAUUCAUGGUGUAGCAGUGAAAUGCGUAGAGAUCAUGAGGAAGACCAGUGGCGAAGGCGGCUUCCUGGACCGAUUCUGACACUGAGGAACGAAAGCGUGGGGAGCGAGCCGG
This 253-nucleotide ribosomal RNA is filed under the name uncultured bacterium. RNAcentral describes it as "partial 16S ribosomal RNA". It matches the Rfam family "Bacterial small subunit ribosomal RNA", at positions 524 to 776 of the family's 1533-position model. The record is from RNAcentral.